AGUAAUGUAUGGGGAUCUGCCUGAUGGGGGGGAGGUAACUACUGGAAACGGUAGCUAAUACCGCCAUAAUGUCUGCGGACCAAAGCGGGGGACCUCCGGGCCUCGCGCCAUCAGAUGAACCCAUAUGGGAUUAGCUAGUAGGUAAGGUAACGGCUUACCUAGGCGACGAUCCCUAGCUGGUCUGAGAGGAUGAUCAGCCACACUGGGACUGAGACACGGCCCAG
Molecule: ribosomal RNA, 224 nt
Filed under: uncultured bacterium
Lineage: Bacteria
Description: partial 16S ribosomal RNA
Rfam family: Bacterial small subunit ribosomal RNA
Source: RNAcentral